Long non-coding RNA from Poecilia latipinna (sailfin molly), 1240 nucleotides. RefSeq lists it as uncharacterized. The transcript is spliced from 4 exons. The record is from RefSeq and is a predicted model, not a curated record. NCBI's taxonomy places the organism in Eukaryota, Metazoa, Chordata, Actinopteri, Cyprinodontiformes, Poeciliidae.
UGGUGUAUUUUCAAGUUAAACGCAUCGCUCAUCCUUACCCAACGUUACUUUUUAGAGACCAAACUUUGCUUUGACUAAAACUACAGAAUCAGCUCCUGUUUAUGAAUGAUCACCUCUGUUUUGAAUUUCAGUGAAUUAUAUGAAUUCGAUUUUUGGGCAAAGUUGAAUUACAUUUAUUUAGACGGUACCAAAGUCCACAUUCAGGGUGUCAAGGCUGGUCCGUGGCAGUACAAAGAGACACAACCAGAGCAAAAAUGAUGGCUCCCGAUUCUUUCUGCACAAACUGUGAGAUGAUUUUCAACUUCCUGGUAAAGGUCAGUCUGAUUAUCCGCAAAAUUCAAUCAAAGACAACGGUAGAGGAUACCAGGGAUGGACCAUUUCUUUGUUAAAUAUCCUUUCCCCCAUGAAAGGUUUGCAAGAAGUGUCCCGCCUCCUGGUUGAUGCCCCAUUCCUUGCUCAUCUGCUCCGUUUCCUCAAAUCGUCACUGUGUCUUCCUGGAAACAAGAUGGAGACGCCAUCACCUGCAGCUCCUCUUCCUGGAUCAGACCGAUGCCAUCUGACGGACUGGCUGGAGGUGCGUUGCUCGAGCAAGUCUGAAAGCGUUCGGUCCAACGAACGCUCGGCUCCCUUCAGUCUUGCGCUGAUAAGUGGCGUCACGGUACGCUGCCUGGAUAAAGCGCCGCUGUCAUGGAAUGAGGUGUCGAGUGGAAAAGCUGAGCGAGUCGAGAUUAAAUGAAAACAUAAUUUGCCAAAUUUAAUCGAAGGAGGUCACUGGACUAUGUGGAGCAACAGAUCUGUCUUUCAUCUUUGAUUCUGAGACGCGGCCACAGAAACGGAGCCAGCUGGAACAUGCCGGAGAUGACACGAGUACCCUGAAUGAUUCAGAUGGCCUGCUGAUAGCCGGUAGAUCACCUUACUGCGCCGAUGCCAGCAGACAAGCAGCAGCUACAGGCCUCAGAGGAGAGAGGCAUUCCCCCUCCGUGGAUACUUGAAGACUGACAGCUUGAGGUGGUUCAAUAAAGUGGCUCUUAAUGUUAAAAUAAAUUAGCUCUAGGUCCUUUUUAAGCCACAUGGGGUAUCAAUUUCCUAUCAGUUUUACUUUGCAAGGUGCUCCAACUUCUACCUACUCCUUGUUAUUAAUAUACAGAGAUUGCUCAGUGAUGUCAUGUAGUAAGAAUAUCCUGCAAUAUAAGUUCUAUAGAUAGUUACUCAAAAUGAAUAAAAAUAGACACUGUUUGUA